GCUUGCUCUUAUGAAGUUAGCGGCGGACGGGUGAGUAACACGUGGGUAACCUGCCCAUAAGACUGGGAUAACUCCGGGAAACCGGGGCUAAUACCGGAUAACAUUUUGAACUGCAUGGUUCGAAAUUGAAAGGCGGCUUCGGCUGUCACUUAUGGAUGGACCCGCGUCGCAUUAGCUAGUUGGUGAGGUAACGGCUCACCAAGGCAACGAUGCGUAGCCGACCUGAGAGGGUGAUCGAGUACACUGGGACUGAGACACUACCAGACUCCUACGGGAGGCAGCAGUAGGGAAUCUUCCGCAAUGGACGAAAGUCUGACGGAGCAACGCCGCGUGAGUGAUGAAGGCUUUCGGGUCGUAAAACUCUGUUGUUAGGGAAGAACAAGUGCUAGUUGAAUAAGCUGGCACCUUGACGGUACCUAACCAGAAAGCCACGGCUAACUACGUGCCAGCAGCCGCGGUAAUACGUAGGUGGCAAGCGUUAUCCGGAAUUAUUGGGCGUAAAGCGCGCGCAGGUGGUUUCUUAAGUCUGAUGUGAAAGCCCACGGCUCAACCGUGGAGGGUCAUUGGAAACUGGGAGACUUGAGUGCAGAAGAGGAAAGUGGAAUUCCAUGUGUAGCGGUGAAAUGCGUAGAGAUAUGGAGG
This 642-nucleotide ribosomal RNA is filed under the name Bacillus sp. (in: firmicutes). RNAcentral describes it as "bacterial SSU rRNA". It matches the Rfam family "Bacterial small subunit ribosomal RNA", at positions 78 to 704 of the family's 1533-position model. The record is from RNAcentral. Lineage: Bacteria; Bacillati; Bacillota; Bacilli; Caryophanales; Bacillaceae.